UCGUUGCCUUUACGGGUACACCCCUCUAAGUAAUUUACCGACAACAAUGAAACACAAAGAAACAUGUUUAUGUUGUAGCCGACGAGUUGAUUGGGAUUUCCACACAUCUAGGUAAUUACCGCAGUGAACUACGACGUGUUUUUCUAUGUAACACUGUUACCCCUACCACCACAAUAUUAUCGGCACAAGCACUGUGAUUGGACCGGUCCCAUAAUGUACUGGGAACUCCAUCGGUCAACCGCCAUUAUUUGGAUUAGUGUCUUUCUUACGUGAAACGCGUUCUUACAGAUCAACGUGUAGCAUUAACGAUUCGUGCGUGUUGUUCGCUGUCCCUGCCCAUUAAUGUUUAUAUAUAAAUAAUUUUGUUCAAUAUACCUCCUUUUAAGCAUAAACGUCGCGUGUGCACCGUAAUUGAGUCGUGUUCUCGUCGUCACGUAAUAAUAUAACGUCGUUUUACUGAGCUCUAUCGGUCGUAGAAGAGUAAGCAAUCCUCUGGCCAAUUGGACCUCAUUAGCUACCUCUGACUGUCCACUAUUGUCCAUCUAUUAAUCAGUUUCUUUUGGUGAGGACCCCAGGUUAGCCGUUUGUCAAGGAUUAGAUCUAGAUAUUUUGUCUCAUUUUGAGAAGCGACAAUUGUAUUGUUAAUUGUUAUAGCGGAACAUAUUUCAGGUCGGAGAGCGAAGGUAACUUGACUGGAUUUGUUUUCAUUAAUUUUGAUUUACAAUUCUUUAACUAUUUUUCACAAGCGUUAGUAUGUGAUUGUAGAUAGUGAGCCGCAUCGUUUUUAAAAAUAAUUAGGUUUUUUUUUUUUAUGAAAGCAAAGAGGGGGUGUACUUAUUACCAAACCCUACUACGUGAGUGAGUCGUGUAGCUUAAUUGUAUUUUGUAAAUAGUUUAUAGUAUAAUUAUAUUUUAUAUUUAUAUCUUUUAACUCGUUAAUUCCUGUUUUUACUAAUAUGUAACAUCUUAUUAAAUAAAAUUAUAAUCUUCUGACUAAUAGUUACUGUGCUACGGUGUCCAUUGGACUUUCUUGUAAACGACAAUAAAGUUGUCGCAUGACGCUAAAACAUGUUAAAAGUUUUUCUUUUAAUAUAUUUUUAAGUUGGUACCAUAUUAUCAUUUAGCUUAAGUAGAAAAUGUUUCUCAUUGAUUAUCUUAGAAAUAUAAAUCGAUGGUUCUUCCGUUGUCAUCAGUUGUUAUUUAGUUGACAGAAAUUUCUAGAUCUUUUACAAACUUGUGAAAUGAUAAUCAAUUAUUUUUUCAGGUAAGGUAUAUAAUUUUAUUCUUUCACUGGUCAAUUUUGGCUUCGAUGCGAAUUUGUUAAGAUAUUAA
Molecule: long non-coding RNA, 1332 nt
Organism: Daktulosphaira vitifoliae (grape phylloxera)
Lineage: Eukaryota; Metazoa; Arthropoda; Insecta; Hemiptera; Phylloxeridae
Exons: 2
Source: RefSeq, a predicted model, not a curated record